GACAUGCAGGUGAUCGCCGUUGAAAGACGGUUUUCCCUACUUCGGAGGCACCUGCACAGGUGCUGCAUGGCUGUCGUCAGCUCGUGUCGUGAGAGUGUUCGGGUUAAGUCCCGCAACGAGCCGCAACCCUUAUCCCCAGUUGCCAUCAGGUAAAGCUGGGAACUCUGGGGAGACUGCCGGUGAUAAACCGGAGGAAGCGGGAUGACGUCAAGUCCUCAUGGCCCUUACAUCCCGGGCUACACACGUGCUACAAUGGCAGGUACAGAGGGCUGCAAAGCCGCGAGGUAGAGCGAAAUCCCAGAAAACCUGUCUCAGUCCGGAUUGAAGUCUGCAACUCGACUCCAUGAAGUUGGAAUCGCUAGUAAUCGCGUAUCAGCAUGACGCGGUGAAUACGUUCCCGGGCCUU
This 406-nucleotide ribosomal RNA is filed under the name uncultured Latescibacterota bacterium. Its description in RNAcentral is "bacterial SSU rRNA". It matches the Rfam family "Bacterial small subunit ribosomal RNA", at positions 983 to 1382 of the family's 1533-position model. The record is from RNAcentral. Lineage: Bacteria; Pseudomonadati; Candidatus Latescibacterota.